CCUGAAGUGUGUAGAGUUCUCAAAUCCUACGUCUCUUCUUAUGUGUGUCAGGUGACUGUUUCAGAGACUCUGUGGUAUCUCAAUUGGUUUCAGAUGCUUGCAUCUGGGCAGCUGAAUCAAGACCUGAAGGUAAAUAGAGAGGAAGUUAGGAAAGAUACUUCAAUGUCUUCGAUGUUGGUAAUGCUGAAGAGCAGCAACAUGAAAUGCAUGAACAGAAGAGUCGUUUUCAGCACUAGUGUGUUUCUGGAAGGUGCUACCGCAGAGGAAAAUGAUGGCCCUCAUUCAACAAUUUUUUAUAUUUGGACUGUUUUGAUCUCAUUCCAUUUUCAUGGGAGACAGUAUCAUCUUCACUGACUUAACUGGGUUUAGACAGAGUCAGCCUGACAGUGUCUAGUGCUAUUAUUCUUCUUGCCACUUAUGUAUGCCUCCUCACAGACUAUGAUAUCACAACUCAUUAAUCAGGCAGCAGGCUGGCUUGAGUGAGAUCACAGCAUGGGCCAAUGCCAGUGCUCUUUUUGUCUGAUUCAUCAGGUGAUUUUUUUUUUUUUUCCCACUGUGGUCGCAGAAG
RNAcentral lists this long non-coding RNA (568 nucleotides) under Numida meleagris (helmeted guineafowl). RNAcentral's name for it is "lncRNA (ENSNMEG00000007464.1)". The record is from RNAcentral. Lineage: Eukaryota; Metazoa; Chordata; Aves; Galliformes; Numididae.